This 253-nucleotide ribosomal RNA is filed under the name uncultured bacterium. RNAcentral describes it as "partial 16S ribosomal RNA". It matches the Rfam family "Bacterial small subunit ribosomal RNA", at positions 524 to 776 of the family's 1533-position model. The record is from RNAcentral.
UACGUAGGGGGCAAGCGUUGUCCGGAUUUAUUGGGCGUAAAGAGCGUGUAGGCGGCCAGCCAGGUCCGUUGUGAAAACUCGAGGCUCAACCUCGAGAUGUCGAUGGAAACCGUCUGGCUAGAGUCCGGAAGAGGAGUGUGGAAUUCCUGGUGUAGCGGUGAAAUGCGCAGAUAUCAGGAAGAACACCUAUGGCGAAGGCAGCACUCUGGGACGGUACUGACGCUGAGACGCGAAAGCGUGGGGAGCGAACAGG